Molecule: long non-coding RNA, 627 nt
Organism: Phragmites australis (common reed)
Lineage: Eukaryota; Viridiplantae; Streptophyta; Magnoliopsida; Poales; Poaceae
Exons: 3
Source: RefSeq, a predicted model, not a curated record
UCUUCCUUUACCCGCAAGCAUUCCCCAGCACCAUACACACGCCCUACAUACAUACACACAGGCAUCCACACCGAGCAUCACAAACCACAACACCCACGCACAGUAGCAGCAGCACCUCUGCUCUCCUCUCCCUAACCCCUGCGCGCACGGGCAUACAAGCACACCACACGGCAGCAGCAUUAGCGCCAUCUGGCUUUCUCCGCCGUGUCCUGCGCUGCCCAGCGGGCCUACGCCACUCGGUCGCGUUAGACUGGUGCGCCGUGCCACCGUGUCGUCAUUCCGCGCCAUCACGACGUAGCUCUGCCUGCAGCCCCUCGGCACCGCUCGCGCUGCGCUGCAAUGACCUCCGUGCUGUCCAACUACCAUGGUGUUAAGUCGCCUGCUUGUCCGCGCCGUGCCCCGCCGUGCGUGCCAUCGCCGCUCACGCCGCCGGCUCGAAGUCAAGGAUCUAAGCAAGAAUGCGAGGAAGGAACUGAAGGCGAGGCCCGAUGAUGAACCCCGGAUGACUCAAGCGACAAGACCAAUCUUGAAUUGACCUUCUUGAAGAUCGUUGAGAUAGAGAUCUACCUCAACACAGAUGAAGUUAAAAAGAAGAAGUCUAAUGUCGUGUCUGCACCCGAGUUGCCU